UCUUUAGGACCUCCUAAAAUUCAUGUCACAUCGAAUAUUUAGAUGUUAAUUAGGAGGACUAAACAUGAGCUAAUUAUAAAACUAAUUACACAGAUGGAGGCUAAAUCACGAGACAAAUCUAUUAAGCCUAAUUAAUCCAUCAUUAGCACAUGUUUACUGUAGCAUCAUAUUGUCAAAUCAUGGACUAAUUAGGCUUAAUAGAUUUGUCUCGCAAAUUAGUCUCCAUCUGUACAAUUGGUUUUAUAAUUAGUCUAUGUUUAAUACUCCUAAUUAGUAUUUAAAUAUUCGAUGUGACAGGAAUUUUAGGAGGUGCUAAAGAAACAAACACCCCCUUACAUGUAGUCUACGUUGCCCUAUGGCGUAGUCUUCAUGUUCUGAUAUGUCUUGAGUACGUCCCCUUGAGUAGGUCCGUACAGAUCUUCUGGUGGGCUUGGGGAUGUAUGGUU
This 446-nucleotide long non-coding RNA is filed under the name Setaria viridis. Its description in RNAcentral is "long non-coding RNA (SVIR_LNC007611)". The record is from RNAcentral. Lineage: Eukaryota; Viridiplantae; Streptophyta; Magnoliopsida; Poales; Poaceae.